CAGUUGAUUCAUGGAAGAUGGGCUAUGCUCGGAGCCCUUGGCUGCAUCACCCCCGAGCUUCUCCAGAAGUACUCCCGUGUGACUCUCAAGGAGCCAGUAUGGUUCAAGGCCGGUGCUCAGAUCUUCAGCGAUGGUGGUUUGGACUACCUCGGCAACCCCAACCUCAUCCACGCUCAGAGCAUUCUCGCUGUGUGGGCCGUCCAGGUCGUACUCAUGGGCGCAGUUGAGGCAUACCGAACCAAUGGUCUUCCCGGAGUCGGUGAGGGUGGCGACCUUUACCCCGGAGGCAAGUACUUCGACCCCUUGGGUUUGGCUGACGACCCCGAGACUCUCGCUGAGUUGAAGGUGAAGGAGCUCAAGAACGGCCGUCUGGCUAUGUUCUCUAUGUUCGGAUUCUUUGUCCAAGCCAUUGUGACCGGAAAGGGCCCCCUGGAGAACUUGUUGGAUCACCUCGCCAACCCUGUUUCCAACAACGCUUGGGCUUUCGCCACCAACUUCACCCCCGGGAACUAGAUUAAGUAAGAUUGUGGUCGACUAGUAUCUGUCCAUUGUAUGGCUGCGUUGCAAGAAGCUGUAACAUAGAGGUAGCCGUUUCUGAUGUCCGUGCUGUUUGCUCCUUCAUGUAAAUGUCGAUUUGUCAGGAAAAUGGAUCCUCAUUCCUCCACUUACGCUUUCCCCACAGGCAGAUCUGUUAUAAAGGUUUCGAAUUUAACUAGUCAUCAUAGUUGAUACCUAAAUCACAAUCAACUAUGAUGACUAUGACGAAUUUGAUUUUGGUACUCUAUCAAGAUUCAGUGAUUAAAUGCCGAGAAAUGAGAUCUAACUACAUCAGCUUUUGAAUCAAAUAUCGUACAUCAAAUCGUUGAUUCUAUGACAACAAUACGAAGUUGGCAGUCUCAAACGUAUCACUGUAAACUAUUAUCAAAUUCAGUUAGACAUAUCUCAAAUCCCUCACAGUUUACUCAAACGCCACCUCUCUCUCACACAUGCACAAAAUUCCGAAUCGCACACUUGCACACCGGAACAUAUCCCGAAUCAGAGUCAUGCCUAUUUACACUGACUAGGAUAGAAUUGAAGGACCAAUAGCCUGGACAGCUCGAAGUUAAAACUGAAGUAC
RNAcentral lists this long non-coding RNA (1117 nucleotides) under Physcomitrium patens. RNAcentral describes it as "long non-coding RNA (PPAT_LNC011447)". The record is from RNAcentral. Lineage: Eukaryota; Viridiplantae; Streptophyta; Bryopsida; Funariales; Funariaceae.